RNAcentral lists this ribosomal RNA (1161 nucleotides) under uncultured Rozellomycota. RNAcentral describes it as "SSU rRNA". It matches the Rfam family "Eukaryotic small subunit ribosomal RNA", at positions 473 to 1707 of the family's 1831-position model. The record is from RNAcentral. Lineage: Eukaryota; Fungi; Rozellomycota.
AUAAAUAACAAUGCGGGCUCAUUUUGGGUUUGCAAUUGGAAUGAGGACAAGUUAAAUCUCAUAUCGAGAACCGAUUGGAGGGCAAGUCUGGUGCCAGCAGCCGCGGUAAUUCCAGCUCCAAUAGCGUAUAUUAAAGUUGUUGCAGUUAAAAAGCUCGUAGUUGGGUAUAAGUCUGGGGGUUGAGCGAUAGCGAUACCCGCAGACUUAUGACUGGAGGGUGGUGGUUGUUAACUCGACCACCACACCAAAGGUCGUAUUACUUUGAAAAAAUUAGAGUGUUUAAAGCAGUCGUCAGACCGAAUACCAAAGCAUGGAAUAACGGAAUAGGACUCUUGUUUUAUUUGUUGGUUAUGGAACGAGGGUAAUGAUCAACAGGGACAGUUGGGGCAUUAGUAUUGGCGCGUCAGAGGUGAAAUUCUUGGAUCGCGGCAAGACUCGCUAGUGCGAAAGCAUUUGCCAAGGAUGUUUUCAUUAAUCAAGAACGAAAGUUAGGGAUCGAAGACGAUCAGAUACCGUCGUAGUCUUAACCGUAAACGAUGCCGACGCGGGUUUUGUGCUGUUUGGCAGUGUGGAGAACCGGGGAGAAAUUUAGUUUUUGGGUUCUGGGGGAGUAUGGUCGCAAGGCUGAAACUUGAAGGAAUUGACGGAAGGGCACCACCAGGAGUGGAGCCUGCGGCUUAAUUUGACUCAACACGGGAAACUCACCAGGUCCAGACAUGGGAAGGAUUGACAGGUUGACAGCUCUUUCGAGAUUCUAUGGGAGGUGGUGCAUGGCCGUUCUUAGUUGGUGGAGUGAUUUGUCAGGUUAAUUCCGAUAACGAACGAGACUUUAAAAGUGUCUUUGGUGGGGUUGUUUCGACAGCUGCCGGCAAGACAUUUGACAAUGCACGCCAAGUGCAUGGAGGUUUGAGGCAAUAACAGGUCUGUGAUGCCCUUAGAUGUUCUGGGCCGCACGCGCGCUACACUGACGGGGGCAGCGGGUUUCCUUUUCCGACAGGGAGGGGAAUCGGAAAGCCCGUCGUGGUAGGGAUAGUCCUUUGGAAUUUUUGGACUUGCACGAGGAAUUCCUAGUAAGCGUGAGUCAUCAGCUUGCGUUGAUUACGUCCCUGCCCUUUGUACACACCGCCCGUCACUACUACCGAUUGAAUGGCUUAGUGAGGC